Vigna unguiculata (cowpea) is the source of this 2815-nucleotide RNA transcript. RefSeq lists it as uncharacterized. The record is from RefSeq and is a predicted model, not a curated record. Lineage: Eukaryota; Viridiplantae; Streptophyta; Magnoliopsida; Fabales; Fabaceae.
UUAUCUGACUAAGAUGGAUGUAAAACUUGGAUGGAAGAAGAAUUGACAAUAUUCAAUGUAUAAUGUAUAUCAUCUCUCUUUCAUGGUUUUCACCUCUUCCCCAUUUUCAGUUUGAUGUUGUUGUGAGAUUUUCUUCAUUCACAGCACUAACACUAUAUACGUGUGGUUUGGACUUUGUUUUCACCCUGUCGGUGAGGAUUGUUGUGUUAUUGUUUUCUUUGAUUUGCCAUUGUGAGUUUGGACUUUGAAAGUUUUCUAAUGGGCAAGUGAAAAGGAGCGAUCUUGAUUUGCAUUCUAGUUAGGGAAACUCUUUGUUUGACUUUGAGGAUAACGUGGUCACCCUUUUUGGAGUUUUAGUGCUCUUUUCAACUUGUUUCUUGCUUCACUCAGAUUUCAGCACUGCUUUGAGCUUUGAAGAACAAAAUGUUCGGCUUCUCUCGAAGGCAUAUGAAACUUGGCAGUCGAUUGAAGGUCCAGCUUUCUGACACUCCCCAGGGAACUAGAAGCCCCAUCAGGCAUCACCAGAAACGAAAUGGAGAAGGAGCUGCAAGGACAAGUGGUCAUUCUGAGGAAAUUGACAGCCAGUUUUUGUCUGCUACAGCUGAGAUGCAUACUAGUACAUCAGGGAGUUCAGAGAACUGGAUGGUGUUGUCAAUUGCAGGGGAAAAACCCACUCCUAGAUCUUAUCAUGCUGCAGCUGUAGUUCAGAAUAAGAUGGUAGUGGUUGGUGGUGAAUCAGGGAAUGGAUUGUUAGACGAUGUGCAGGUGCUAAAUUUUGACAGAUUUUUGUGGACCAUGGCGUCCUCUAAGCUUUACUUAUCGCCUAGCAGUCUUCCUCUAAAGAUUCCUGCUUGCAAGGGGCAUUGUUUGGUUUCUUGGGGGAAAAAAGCACUCCUAAUUGGAGGGAAAACAGACCCAGCAAGUGACAAAAUUUCUGUAUGGGUGUUUGAUACAGAGACAGAGUGCUGGUCCCUCAUGGAAGCAAAGGGAGACAUACCGGUUGCUCGCAGCGGCCACACGGUUGUGAUGGCCAACUCUGUUUUAAUAAUGUUUGGAGGAGAAGAUGCCAAAAGGAGGAAACUGAAUGAUCUACAUAUGUUUGAUCUCAAGUCCUUGACAUGGCUUCCACUUCACUACACGGGAGCAGCACCUUGUCCAAGAUUCAACCAUGUGGCAGCUCUUUAUGAUGGUAAAAUUCUAUUUAUAUUUGGAGGAGCAUCAAAAUCCAGGACCUUGAAUGACUUGUAUUCACUUGACUUUGAAACAAUGGCAUGGUCAAGAAUAAAAAUACGUGGUUUCCAUCCAUCUCCAAGGGCUGGUUGCUGUGGUGUGUUAUGUGGCACGAAAUGGUAUAUUACAGGGGGUGGAAGCAAGAAAAAACGACACGGGGAGACUUUGGUAUAUGAUGUUGUAAAAAGUGAAUGGUCUGUGGCAAUUGGGUCACCUCCAUCUUCUAUUACGACCAACAAGGGUUUUAGCCUUGUACUCGUGCAACACAAGGAUAAAGACUUCCUUGUUGCAUUUGGGGGAUCCAAAAAGGAGCCAUCAAAUCAGGUGGAAGUGUUGAUUACAGAAAAAAAUGAAUCAAGAAAGCGACCAACUUCAACCAAAGGUCAAAGAUCUUUAUUACUUGAAAAACAUUCAUUAUCUGCUGGAUUGGCUUCUCAACUUAAAAAGGACUCUUCCCAACAUUUGAUUGACUCUGUCGUGCGACAAAAUCUUGCAUCUGCAAUUGAACACGGUUCUGAAAGGAAAUCUCUGUCUGAAACCCUUCUUGAACAAGAUUCCAAUUCCCUCCGUACCAAGACCUCCCUUCGCAGGCAAUUUGAUCAUCAUGAAGAAUACAAUCCAGAUGUAAGGAUCAAGCAUUCAGAAGAUGACCCUGGUAAUCAAAUGAGAUCAAGUGGCUCCAAGACCAACAUGGAGGAACAACAGGUCUCAGUAUCUGGAAAUUCAAAUCAACAAAACCUCGGUUUUGAAAACCCUUUGCUAGAAAGUGAUGAUGUGUCAUUCCCAGAGAAUGGUAAAUCAGGAUCACUGUCUGCUGCUUCAAGCAUCCAUCAUUAUCAUGAAACUAAAGUGGCUUCCCUGAUGAGAAAAUUUGGCCUUCUGGAGGGGCAAUUGUCAGCUGCAUUAGCAAGCAGAGAAGCUGCGGAGAAAAGCUUAGCAUCUGCCUUUAAAAGCCGGCAAGAGAUGGAGAAAAAAUUAUCUGACACACUGAAGGAGAUGGAGUUACUGAGAGAGAAACUGGUGAGUGCAGAGUUAUCUCAAGAAGAAGCUACCAACCUUUCAAACUUGGUCCAUGCUGACAAUGUAAGGCUUGAGCAUGAUGUGGCUUUCCUCAAGGCUGUUUUGGAUGACACUCAAAAGUAGGAAUUGCACUCAACCAGAGGGGUUCUUGCAGCAGAAAGAGCCAGGGCAUUCCAAUUACAGGUUGAAGUUUUCCAUCUCAAACAGAGACUUCAAUCAAUAGAGAAUCGAGCCCCUACUCCUAGGAAACCUUUUCACGUGUAAUGCUUUGCAAAGUCAAAUGAUGUCAUGCCUAUCAACUUCAGCACAAAUGAUGAGACAAUGCUUCUAUGUUAUGUGGACACAAUCUAUCAAGGGAAGUGCAAUUGGAUAAUGGUUUUGAAGACCUACAGAGAGAAAGAAGCACAAUUCAUAGAACUUCCCUUUUGGCUGAGGAAAUUGGUUCUGUAUUCAUGUUUUUUAACCACUGAGCUUCACCGUUCUUGAUAAAGAGUUCAUUAGUCCUAGUAUAAUCAAAACGUGGUCAAAUAAAUGAUAAUUAAAUAAGCUGUUAUUUUUCUUGUAA